CCCCAGGCUUUUCCAUAGCUCCCACCCUCUGCCCCCAGGCUUCUCCUUGGCUCCCACCAUCUGUGGGCACCCCUGCCCCCAGGCUUCUCCAUAGCUCCUACCACCUGCUGGCACCCCUGCCCCCAGGCUUCUCCAUAGCUCCCACACAAACACGUGAUGCAAUCCAUGUGCGUGCCCAGAGAGCCUCCUUGCACAUGGAGCACACAUCUCCCACGCAGAGUCCGUGUGAUGAGGGCCAGGUCUCAGCACCUGCAUACAGGGAUACAGGCACUGAGCAUGUUAUGUCAGGUGAAUUAACGGUCACAACUUCACUGGCACUAGAGUCUACUCAUUAUUUGUGGCUUCCCUGGUAGCUCAGACAGUGAAGCGUCUGCCUGCAAUGCGGGAGGCCUGGGUGCGAUCCCCGGGUCGGGAAGAUCCCCUGGAGAAGGAAAUGGCAACCCACUNNNNNNNNCUUGCCUGGAAAAUUCCACGGAUGGAGGAGCCUGGUAGGCUACAGUCCACAGGAUCACAAAGAGUUGGACACGGCUGAGCAACUUCGCUGGCACUAAGGCCAGCGCCUGUGACUCGACUGGGUACCAGAACCACUUGGGAAUAGCUUCCAAAAGUGAAGGUGAGUCAUGCCGACAUCACCUGGAGCCAAAGAGGAAGGCAGCUGGUGUGACGUGAGGGCUGAAUAUCCGGCCCAGGAACCAUGCAUUAAAAGCGCACGGAGAUACACUCACCGUAGCCAAAACGGCCGAGACAUAAAGGCCGCUCUGGGUUUCAGCAGAGACCCAUAAGCCUUUUCUGUCGAGGCUGACAGAUGCAUCCUGUUACCGAAGGCUCCGCCUGAGGCCGGCCGCCAGCCGCCGCCCUGCGCUCCGAGGGCAGCCAGCACGGGCUCUGGGCUCCGCUCCCCUCCAUGGGCACCAGGCCUCAGUCAGCCGGGCGCCGCCGAGUGCCAGCGCUCUGGCUUCAAGGCCAGCUCCCUGUCACUCAGGAUGACCGCUGACUCCAGGAAGUCACGCGUUCUGGAACCUUUCCCUCGGAGAGCUUCACCCGAGAUGACCAGGUGUUUGUGGCAGCUACAGGGCACGGGCUUCCAAACCAACUGGCCCGGAGUAAGGUCCUCACACUACCCCACACUGCCGACCACAUCCUUCUCAGGGGGCCAGAAAAA
RNAcentral lists this long non-coding RNA (1162 nucleotides) under Capra hircus (goat). RNAcentral's name for it is "lncRNA (ENSCHIG00010008168.1)". Lineage: Eukaryota; Metazoa; Chordata; Mammalia; Artiodactyla; Bovidae. The record is from RNAcentral.